RNAcentral lists this ribosomal RNA (154 nucleotides) under uncultured bacterium. RNAcentral's name for it is "partial 16S ribosomal RNA". It matches the Rfam family "Bacterial small subunit ribosomal RNA", at positions 355 to 509 of the family's 1533-position model. The record is from RNAcentral.
UGGGGAAUAUUGCACAAUGGGCGCAAGCCUGAUGCAGCGACGCCGCGUGCGGGAUGGAGGCCUUCGGGUUGCAAACCGCUUUUGUUCAAGGGCAAGGCACGGUUUUGGCCGUGUUGAGUGGAUUGUUCGAAUAAGCACCGGCUAACUACGUGCC